Molecule: long non-coding RNA, 2772 nt
Organism: Bolinopsis microptera
Lineage: Eukaryota; Metazoa; Ctenophora; Tentaculata; Lobata; Bolinopsidae
Exons: 3
Source: RefSeq, a predicted model, not a curated record
UGCGAUAUUGGAUGAGGGAGGAAUCAUCAUCUGUGCGGCUUCGUGUGGGGAGCGAUGUUAGGAUUGGUGGUUGAUGUCCCGAUCCAAGUACGUUUUCGUAGUAUGAAGCAAACUCAGCCAUGUCUUCAACCAGAAGCCUUUCUUUUCAAGUUCUGUUUGCUGACAUGGACGUUGUUUCACCACGGUAGAUAUGCGGGCUCUGGAACCCUUCCGGAAAUCCGAACAUUUCCAGUAGGUGGUGUCGUCCCCUCGUUUGUCGAAGACGUAUCGGAAGCCAUUCAGGACAGAGUUUUCCGAGCCUUGUUUGUGUCCAGGGAUAAACUGAAGAUUGGUUGCCAUUGUGCCAUAAUGGCAUUGUGGAUUGCGAUAACUGAUCUCAAUACCGCUGUCCGGCUGUCCUAUAUGUACUGAGUACUCAUGUAGGCUGUGUCCUGUGAUAUGAUAAACAGGUUGUUAGUGUACGGCUAGCACGAUCAUGUCCUCAACUAGUCAAUCACGUAUCGAUGGAUCAGAUCUCAAUGGAUCACAUCAGCAUUAGAACAAUGGGAGCAACGUCACAAGAUUACCCGUGAGCUUGUGAAAUACGAAUGUGAACCGAAAUUACAAUAUGAACCGAAAUUCGGACAGAUGUCGCCAAAAACGACUCCUUUCCGACAUCGACAUCUGUCCGAUAUCCCUAAUUCGGCUGUCGGACAGAUGUCGCCAAUCCCAUUGAGGAACGCCUACUAAACCCGGUACCAUCAAAGGAGCUUAUUCCGAUGCAGUUAUCAGCAAAUGAUAUCUCAGAAAGCAUCAAAGAACUGGACCCGUACUCAUCAACUCCUGAUGAAGAUAUUUCUACUAGGAUCCUGACCAAGUGUAGAGAGACAUUGUCUGAGCCUAUAUUUCUACUUUGGCAAGAUUCUCUCCUAGCAUGAAACCGCAGGUUAUUACUCCUGUCUGCAAGAAGGGUGAUCGCAGAGAGGCUGUCAACUAUAGCCCAGUUUCUAUAACUUCCCAUUAUGAAGAUCGUUGAAAGGAACAGAGUCAUCCUUUUAACUGGCAAUUAGUGGGAUGACACAAAGUACAGUGUUCGGACCGAUUCUGUUCAACCUCUACUUCGAUGACCAACUGGAGACAUUUCUCUGUGGGGAGGUCACACAAUGUGAUGGCCCUGUUAAAGCUUACCGUUCCUCAACAUAGGUGACAUAGAGAACUCUCCAAACAAGGUUGGUAGACCACCUAGAGCGGAAUAAAAUCUUGCCCGACAAACAACACGGUUUGAGAAUUGUAGCUGCCAGAGUAUGUUGAUUCGGUUCUCAAAGAACUCAACAGUGGAAAAGAAAUUGAUGUCAUAUAUCUUGAUUAUUGCAAGGCAUUUGAAAAAAAUCCUGCUAGAAAAGACACAGAAGUAUGGAAUAGGUGGCAAAGUCUUCACUUGGAUGAAGAACUGACGGGGCGAGAAAAAAGCAGUCACCGUAGAAGGACACAAGUCCAGACUCGAGGAUGUAGAAAGUGGAGUACCAUAAGGAACCGUCAAUGGUCCUGUAUUAUACUUCAUGAUCUAUGUGAUCGACCGAGCAAUACAAAUCCGAAAUUCUUUACAACUGGCCUUCGUAAACAACACGAAGCUCAUGAAGGCAAUAAUAUCCAUGAUCUGCUGUACACUACUUCAGAUCGACUUUGGUCAUGUGCUCGAGUGGUCCAAAGUUAACAGUAUGGUCCUGCAAGAGAAUAAGCUUGAGGUGAUCAAUUACUGCCUCAACCACGGAUUGCCAGCCGACCUUCGACAAUUAUACGUCACACCAAGUGGCGUUGAAAUAAAGCCAAAGGAUGCUGUUCGUGAACCCCUCACGUUUGUCAGGUCACUGCUGGCGCAAGGAAAAUGGCCAUGUAAAGGCCGAUCACCACUACAAAUGAUCACACUUUUUAAGUCAAUGGUCAGGAGCAAACUGGAAUACUGCUGUCCAGUUUGGGUGACAUACAAGCGAUUGAGAACAUCCAGCAGCAGUUCACCCGAAAGAUAUUACAAGGACUACUGCUCUACUGGGAUCGGCUAAAAAAGCUACGCUUGAUGUCCUCUCAAAGGAGACGUGAGAAAUAUUCAUUGGGGUGCGAGCCUAUGUGCGAACACUGAACCACAAGGCUCAAAAAUCUGUGGCAACCAAAUAUGAAAGCUCAUUUGGAUUCAGGGCACCGCGCCUCUGGAAUCCAACCACCAGGGAACCCUUCACCUCAACUGUAACUCCAACAUGACUCUCAGUACAUCCUGCCAGUUCAACUCCUCCUUCCAUUCAGCUCCGUCAGCAACAUGAGUUUCUCAACCCCAGCCAGAGACGGAAACAGUAACUACCACUUGGUAACUACCAUCUGAUAAAAAGUCUCAGACCUGAACAACCUGUCUGAGUACCUGAAGGAAUACGAGGAGAAGUGGCAGAGUGGCUGCCACAGUGUCACGUGAUAGUUCAUGGAAACAUGCUACAGUGGUCAAGUGAAUUCCUGAUGAACCUCCUCAACACAGUGGUCGUUGAAGGAACAAAGUCAUCCUUCCAACUAGAACUGGUGAUAAGUGGGAUGACUAGGAAAGAAUUGGGCGACGAAAGCGUUCCUUGAGAUCUGGUCCAUCGAUACGUUAUUGACUAUGAGAGGACAGGAUAGUACUAGUCGUACAUUAAUAAGCUUAGACAAGCUGCCCAUCACGGAUCACCACACAGCCUACAGUAUAUCAUAUAUAGGAGAACAGAAUGAAGAUCAGAUAUCACAAUCGUCAGUUUAUUUCUGGAAUUGCGAUUA